Molecule: non-coding RNA, 1688 nt
Organism: Notechis scutatus (mainland tiger snake)
Lineage: Eukaryota; Metazoa; Chordata; Lepidosauria; Squamata; Elapidae
Source: RefSeq, a predicted model, not a curated record
UUUGGCACGUGGCGGAAGGAGGGAAGGUCUUCGUUUGUUUGAUGUUGAAAAUACAGUUUAGCUCAAAGAUGAAGACUUUGAAACAUAAAGGUUAUUUGAAAGGAGGAAAAACUCCCAAAGCAUCCACUGUUCUUGGUAUUGCUGUGGAAGAAAAACUACUUGGACCAGGCUUGGAGGAAUAAAAAUGUUAGACCAAGCAGCAUCAGAUAGAAAAAAGUCUGGCACUAAUGAACCAACCAGAGCACAGGACAACUCAAAGCAAAGCAAGAUCAGAAGAUGCAGAGAGUUCCGGCCCAUAGAAUGGCCAAGAGUUUGGCAUGACUGAGUGGAUAGCAUCUUCAUGCUGUGCAAAGUAGACUGCAGCAGCAAUUACACGGCAGCCUUCUGGUUUGGUUGAAUUCUGCUAUUCCUGGAAGAUCCUAUGCAUCUCCUGACACUUGAGGACAUAUCUUGUUUGCUGUUCCGACCAGUUUCAGAUGAUGGGACAAGGUUCAAUGCUGUGAAUCUAAUCUGGUUCAAAAGCAGAAGCAGGCCUUUUGAAAGCCCAACCAGGAAGACGGCAGUGGCAACUUGAAAUGGUGGGAGAAAUAUUUUGAAGCCCCCGUUUCUCAGGUACUCAGGUUAUUUGAAAGGAGGAAAAACUCCCAAAGCAUCCACUGCUGUAUUGCUGUGGAAGAAAAACUACUGGACCAGGCUUGGAGGAAUAAAAAUGUUAGACCAAGCAGCAUCAGAUAGAAAGAAGUCUGGCAUUAAUGAACCAGCAGAGCAUAGAACAACUCAAAGCAAAGCAAGCUCAGAAGAUGCGGAGAGUCCUGGCCCAUAGAAUGGCCAAGAGUUUGGCAUGACUGAAUGGAUAACACCCAUUCUUGUGCAACGUAGACUGCAGCAGCUUUUGUAGUGUUGGUUAUAGCAGGGGUCUCCAAAGCUUUGCUUUGCUGGCUGAGGAAUUCUGGGAGUUGAAGUCCGCAAGUUGCCAAGGUUGGAGAUCCUUGGGUUAUAGAACAAAACUGCACCUGUGAUUGGUAUUUGUAUUGGUAACGGUACAAACUCUUUGUGUUAUUCGAUUUUUCUUUGUUCACUUUAGUUUGUAAAUGAUCAUGUAUUGUUGAACAUUGAUGAACCUAAUAAUUUGAAUUCAGCUGAGCUAUGCUUUAAUAAGCCCUGCUUAGCCACAUUUUGGGGAUUCUGCUUGAGGUCUAUGGCUGAGUGGGGCUUAAGUUGUUGAGAGGACCUGUUAAGAACAGGAGGGACAUAAACCUGAACUGCCUUUCAGAGUCCUUUUUAUACAGUAUAUUACUGGAACUUAAUAAUCGGGUAUGUUGUGUUUUCCCCUCUUAACAUUGUUUUAUGGCUUUGCAAACCUUUAUGUAUUUAUACACAUAUAUGUAUUAAAGACCAGUACUAUUCAUUCUAUGUGCAAGUCUUCACAUUACUGAUUAGUUCAACUACAAAUUCAUUUCUAACACAAUUACAGAAAUAGUUCUCCAAUGGUUUCAUGAUCACUGAUUUGGCCAAAGUUGAGACUUAAUUUCCCCAACUGGCAUGUUACUGCAUUUCUGUACAUUCUGACCAGCUUGCAGUAUUGGUAUUGAGCCAGAGGUCUCCAAACUUGGCAAGCUAUGCUGGCUGGGGAGUUCUGGGAGUUGAAGUCCACAAGUCUUAAAAAUUGCCAAGUUUGGGGACCCCUG